RNAcentral lists this ribosomal RNA (2900 nucleotides) under Shigella flexneri 6603-63. RNAcentral describes it as "23S ribosomal RNA". The record is from RNAcentral. Lineage: Bacteria; Pseudomonadati; Pseudomonadota; Gammaproteobacteria; Enterobacterales; Enterobacteriaceae.
AAGGUUAAGCCUCACGGUUCAUUAGUACCGGUUAGCUCAACGCAUCGCUGCGCUUACACACCCGGCCUAUCAACGUCGUCGUCUUCAACGUUCCUUCAGGACCCUUAAAGGGUCAGGGAGAACUCAUCUCGGGGCAAGUUUCGUGCUUAGAUGCUUUCAGCACUUAUCUCUUCCGCAUUUAGCUACCGGGCAGUGCCAUUGGCAUGACAACCCGAACACCAGUGAUGCGUCCACUCCGGUCCUCUCGUACUAGGAGCAGCCCCCCUCAGUUCUCCAGCGCCCACGGCAGAUAGGGACCGAACUGUCUCACGACGUUCUAAACCCAGCUCGCGUACCACUUUAAAUGGCGAACAGCCAUACCCUUGGGACCUACUUCAGCCCCAGGAUGUGAUGAGCCGACAUCGAGGUGCCAAACACCGCCGUCGAUAUGAACUCUUGGGCGGUAUCAGCCUGUUAUCCCCGGAGUACCUUUUAUCCGUUGAGCGAUGGCCCUUCCAUUCAGAACCACCGGAUCACUAUGACCUGCUUUCGCACCUGCUCGCGCCGUCACGCUCGCAGUCAAGCUGGCUUAUGCCAUUGCACUAACCUCCUGAUGUCCGACCAGGAUUAGCCAACCUUCGUGCUCCUCCGUUACUCUUUAGGAGGAGACCGCCCCAGUCAAACUACCCACCAGACACUGUCCGCAACCCGGAUCACGGGUCCACGUUAGAACAUCAAACAUUAAAGGGUGGUAUUUCAAGGUCGGCUCCAUGCAGACUGGCGUCCACACUUCAAAGCCUCCCACCUAUCCUACACAUCAAGGCUCAAUGUUCAGUGUCAAGCUAUAGUAAAGGUUCACGGGGUCUUUCCGUCUUGCCGCGGGUACACUGCAUCUUCACAGCGAGUUCAAUUUCACUGAGUCUCGGGUGGAGACAGCCUGGCCAUCAUUACGCCAUUCGUGCAGGUCGGAACUUACCCGACAAGGAAUUUCGCUACCUUAGGACCGUUAUAGUUACGGCCGCCGUUUACCGGGGCUUCGAUCAAGAGCUUCGCUUGCGCUAACCCCAUCAAUUAACCUUCCGGCACCGGGCAGGCGUCACACCGUAUACGUCCACUUUCGUGUUUGCACAGUGCUGUGUUUUUAAUAAACAGUUGCAGCCAGCUGGUAUCUUCGACUGAUUUCAGCUCCACGAGCAAGUCGCUUCACCUACGUAUCAGCGUGCCUUCUCCCGAAGUUACGGCACCAUUUUGCCUAGUUCCUUCACCCGAGUUCUCUCAAGCGCCUUGGUAUUCUCUACCUGACCACCUGUGUCGGUUUGGGGUACGAUUUGAUGUUACCUGAUGCUUAGAGGCUUUUCCUGGAAGCAGGGCAUUUGUGCUUCAGCACCGUAGUGCCUCGUCAUCACGCCUCGGCCUUGAUUUUCCGGAUUUGCCUGGAAAACCAGCCUACACGCUUAAACCGGGACAACCGUCGCCCGGCCAACAUAGCCUUCUCCGUCCCCCCUUCGCAGUAACACCAAGUACAGGAAUAUUAACCUGUUUCCCAUCGACUACGCCUUUCGGCCUCGCCUUAGGGGUCGACUCACCCUGCCCCGAUUAACGUUGGACAGGAACCCUUGGUCUUCCGGCGAGCGGGCUUUUCACCCGCUUUAUCGUUACUUAUGUCAGCAUUCGCACUUCUGAUACCUCCAGCAUACCUCACAGCACACCUUCACAGGCUUACAGAACGCUCCCCUACCCAACAACGCAUAAGCGUCGCUGCCGCAGCUUCGGUGCAUGGUUUAGCCCCGUUACAUCUUCCGCGCAGGCCGACUCGACCAGUGAGCUAUUACGCUUUCUUUAAAUGAUGGCUGCUUCUAAGCCAACAUCCUGGCUGUCUGGGCCUUCCCACAUCGUUUCCCACUUAACCAUGACUUUGGGACCUUAGCUGGCGGUCUGGGUUGUUUCCCUCUUCACGACGGACGUUAGCACCCGCCGUGUGUCUCCCGUGAUAACAUUCUCCGGUAUUCGCAGUUUGCAUCGGGUUGGUAAGUCGGGAUGACCCCCUUGCCGAAACAGUGCUCUACCCCCGGAGAUGAAUUCACGAGGCGCUACCUAAAUAGCUUUCGGGGAGAACCAGCUAUCUCCCGGUUUGAUUGGCCUUUCACCCCCAGCCACAAGUCAUCCGCUAAUUUUUCAACAUUAGUCGGUUCGGUCCUCCAGUUAGUGUUACCCAACCUUCAACCUGCCCAUGGCUAGAUCACCGGGUUUCGGGUCUAUACCCUGCAACUUAACGCCCAGUUAAGACUCGGUUUCCCUUCGGCUCCCCUAUUCGGUUAACCUUGCUACAGAAUAUAAGUCGCUGACCCAUUAUCAAAAGGUACGCAGUCACACGCCUAAGCGUGCUCCCACUGCUUGUACGUACACGGUUUCAGGUCUUUUUCACUCCCCUCGCCGGGGUUCUUUUCGCCUUUCCCUCACGGUACUGGUUCACUAUCGGUCAGUCAGGAGUAUUUAGCCUUGGAGGAUGGUCCCCCCAUAUUCAGACAGGAUACCACGUGUCCCGCCCUACUCAUCGAGCUCACAGUAUGUGCAUUUUUGUGUACGGGGCUGUCACCCUGUAUCGCACGCCUUUCCAGACGCUUCCACUAACACACACACUGAUUCAGGCUCUGGGCUGCUCCCCGUUCGCUCGCCGCUACGUGGGGGAAUCUCGGUUGAUUUCUUUUCCUCGGGGUACUUAGAUGUUUCAGUUCCCCCGGUUCGCCUCAUUAACCUAUGGAUUCAGUUAAUGAUAGUGUGACGAAUCACACUGGGUUUCCCCAUUCGGAAAUCGCCGGUUAUAACGGUUCAUAUCACCUUACCGACGCUUAUCGCAGAUUAGCACGUCCUUCAUCGCCUCUGACUGCCAGGGCAUCCACCGUGUACGCUUAGUCGCUUAA